Molecule: ribosomal RNA, 906 nt
Filed under: uncultured archaeon
Lineage: Archaea
Description: bacterial SSU rRNA
Rfam family: Archaeal small subunit ribosomal RNA
Source: RNAcentral
GCUACUGCCAUCAGGGUUCGAUUAAGCCAUAUUAGUCGAGGGUGCUUCUUCUUCGGAAGAUGUAACCCGGCGGACGGCUCAGUAACACGUGGAUAACUUGCCCUUGGGUCCGGGAUAACCCCUGAGAAAUUGGGGACAAUACCGGAUAGGGCAUCGAUUGCUGGAAUGCGCGAUGUCCAAAAGCUGAGGCGCCCAAGGAUAGGUCUGCGGCCGAUUAGGUUGUUGUUGAUGUAAUGGAUCAACAAGCCUGCAAUCGGUACGGGUUGUGAGAGCAAGAGCCCGGAGAUGGGUUCUGAGGAAAGAACCCAGGUCCUACGGGACGCAUCAGGCGCGAGAACUUUAUAAUGUGCGAAAGCACGAUAAGGGAACUCUGAGUGCCUCCUAUGGAGGCUGUUCAGGUGUCUAAAAAGCACUUGAAGUAAGGGCUGGGUAAGACCGGUGCCAGCCGCCGCGGUAACACCGGCAGCCCAAGUGGUAGCCACGAUUAUUGGGUCUAAAGCGUCCGUAGCCGGCCAGGUAAGUUCUUUGGGAAAUUUAACCGCUCAACGGUUAAGCUUUCAGGGAAUACUGCUUGGCUUGGGACCGGGAGAGGUCAGAGGUACUUCAAGGGUAGUGGUGAAAUCCGUUAAUCCUUGAGGGACCACCAGUAGCGAAGGCGUCUGACCAGACCGGGUCCGACGGUGAGGGACGAAGGCUAGGGUCGCGAACCGGAUUAGAUACCCGGGUAGUCCUAGCUGUAAACGAUGCGGGCCAGGUGUUGGCAUUACUGCGAGUGAUGUCAGUGCCGAAGGGAAGCCGUUAAGCCCGCCAUCUGGGGAGUACGGUCGCAAGGCUGAAACUUAAAGGAAUUGGCGGGGGAGCACCACAACUGGUGGAGCCUGCGGUUCAAUUGGAUUCAACGCCGGA